Molecule: ribosomal RNA, 253 nt
Filed under: uncultured bacterium
Lineage: Bacteria
Description: partial 16S ribosomal RNA
Rfam family: Bacterial small subunit ribosomal RNA
Source: RNAcentral
UACAGAGGUCUCAAGCGUUGUUCGGAUUCAUUGGGCGUAAAGGGUGUGUAGGUGGCGCCGUAAGUCGGGUGUGAAAUUUCGGAGCUUAACUCCGAAACUGCAUUCGAUACUGCGGUGCUUGAGGACUGGAGAGGAGACUGGAAUUCAUGGUGUAGCAGUGAAAUGCGUAGAGAUCAUGAGGAAGACCAGUGGCGAAGGCGGGUCUCUGGACAGUUCCUGACGCUGAGGUGCGAAAGCGUGGGGAGCAAACAGG